RNAcentral lists this ribosomal RNA (366 nucleotides) under uncultured bacterium. RNAcentral's name for it is "bacterial SSU rRNA". It matches the Rfam family "Bacterial small subunit ribosomal RNA", at positions 796 to 1165 of the family's 1533-position model. The record is from RNAcentral.
CAUGCCGUAAACGAUGAUUACUAGGUGUGGGGGGUCUGACCCCUUCCGUGCCGGAGUUAACACAAUAAGUAAUCCACCUGGGGAGUACGGCCGCAAGGUUGAAACUCAAAGGAAUUGACGGGGGCCCGCACAAGCAGUGGAGUAUGUGGUUUAAUUCGAAGCAACGCGAAGAACCUUACCAGGUCUUGACAUCCAACUAACGAGGCAGAGAUGCGUUAGGUGCCCUUCGGGGAAAGUUGAGACAGGUGGUGCAUGGUUGUCGUCAGCUCGUGUCGUGAGAUGUUGGGUUAAGUCCCGCAACGAGCGCAACCCUUGUGAUUAGUUGCUACGCAAGAGCACUCUAAUCAGACUGCCGUUGACAAAACG